AGGGUUCGAUUCUGGCUCAGAACGAACGCUGGCGGCGCGUCUUAAGCAUGCAAGUCGAGCGGUAAGAUUGGUGCUUGCACCGAUCCUAGAGCGGCGGACUGGUGAGUAACGCGUGGGUGACGUACCCUUUGACGGGGAUAGCUCCUAGAAAUAGGAGGUAAUACCGGAUAAGCUCGUAUGUGUCAGAGGCAUACGAGGAAAGGUUCUUUUGAACCGCGAAAGGAGCGGCCCGCGUACUAUUAGCUAGUUGGUGAGGUAACGGCCCACCAAGGCGACGAUAGUUAUCCGGCCUGAGAGGGUGAACGGACACAUUGGGACUGAGAUACGGCCCAGACUCCUACGGGAGGCAGCAGCUAAGAAUAUUCCGCAAUGGACGAAAGUCUGACGGAGCGACGCCGCGUGGAUGAUGAAGGCCGGAAGGUUGUAAAAUCCUUUUAGGUGCGAGGAAUAAGUGUGGUGAGAGAAACGCCAUAUGGUGACGGUAGCACCUGAAUAAGCAACGGCUAAUUACGUGCCAGCCGCUGC
RNAcentral lists this ribosomal RNA (525 nucleotides) under uncultured bacterium. RNAcentral's name for it is "bacterial SSU rRNA". It matches the Rfam family "Bacterial small subunit ribosomal RNA", at positions 8 to 518 of the family's 1533-position model. The record is from RNAcentral.